RNAcentral lists this long non-coding RNA (609 nucleotides) under Populus trichocarpa (black cottonwood). RNAcentral describes it as "long non-coding RNA (PTRI_LNC000902)". The record is from RNAcentral. Lineage: Eukaryota; Viridiplantae; Streptophyta; Magnoliopsida; Malpighiales; Salicaceae.
UUGAAUGUGAUUUGAACCGACCUCUUCCUCCUCCAUCUUCCCUUUCCUGGAUAAACAAAAUAGACAGCUUUCAAUUUUCCAAACAUAUAACUUCAGCUCUUUGUGGUAAAAGGAAGUGUAAAGAAAAAAAUUCAGAUGAAAAAGCAUUAAGCAUUAAUAGAUCAUCUGAAGUCUAAAAAAUAUUUGCCCGCUUGCAAACUUUUAAGAUCUUUGACUUUAAGAAUGUCUAAAAUGGAAUCAUACAGCAAGGGGCAUAAGGUUUAGGGUGAAUUCUUGGAUGUGAAAGUUCCUAGUCAUAAAGGUUAUUGACAUAGUUCUAUACAGCAUGCAUUGAGAAUCAUGCAGUGAUUUUUUUCAUGAUCAAGAUACUGAUGCCUCACCUUUUUCUUAACAAUCUGAACUACAUCCUCAUCUUGGAGAACAUGACCAAGGCCACAGUGCUGCGGGUAGUGCCUUGCGCUUGUAUCCUCAUCUUGGAGAACAUGACCAAGGCCACAGUGCUGCGGGUAGUGCCUUGCGCUUGUACCCCACACAAGCACAUAUUUCACAUCCUUAAUUAAAUUUCUGUGUAUGUGAUUGCAGAAGUCUUCAACCGUGCACCCACCUCUA